Molecule: long non-coding RNA, 428 nt
Filed under: Homo sapiens (human)
Lineage: Eukaryota; Metazoa; Chordata; Mammalia; Primates; Hominidae
Description: novel transcript
Source: RNAcentral
UCAAAACGGAGGAACCCGAGAGACUCCUCGAGGACUGCAGGCUCGGCGCGGAGCCCGCGUCCAAUGGCCCGGCUCGUGGCAGCGCGGAGGUCAUCUUGGCCCCAACGUCCGGUGCCUUUGGGCCGCACCAGCAAGACCUCAGGAUCCCUCUGGACUCUCCACACUGCUUCCCCUGGGGCCCGGAUCCAGUUUCAGGAAGCUCCGCCUUCAGAGCUGAUAAGAUUGACCAAGGUCCCCCUGACACCAGUGCCUAUUAAAAUGCAGUCCCUACUGGAGCCUUCUGUAAAAAUUGAAACCAAAGAUGUCCCCUCACUGUGCUGCCCUCAGAUGCAGGGGAUUAACUGAACAUGAGGGAAGAGAGCAGAUCAGUGCUCAGAAAGGGAAUGUAUGUUGCUCAGGGUCUCAGAGGAAACUGAGGAAUCACACAA